Molecule: long non-coding RNA, 386 nt
Organism: Dreissena polymorpha
Lineage: Eukaryota; Metazoa; Mollusca; Bivalvia; Myida; Dreissenidae
Exons: 3
Source: RefSeq, a predicted model, not a curated record
UUGGUGUUCAAUGCUAUACCCUCUAAAAAAUGGAACGUCAUUUAUUUGAAGACACAAUUCUCUGUAUGUGCACUUGCCAUGACUUUAUUUUUGAAUAUUUCUGUGUGCAUGUGGUAGGGAAAACAUUGUUGUAUACUACAAAUUCAGUGUUUUGCUUAUAGGUUGGAGACUACAUGAGAUUUUGACAGAUGGCGGGAAACCCUCAUCAACUGGAGAUCAGCCGGUAGAGGAAUGUCUGCGACUAAGCCGAGGGCCACUUCAUAAGGGUUAUUGAUGGCAAAACAGGUUGGAGACUACAUGAGAUUUUGACAGAUGGCGGGAAACCCUCAUCAACUGGAGAUCAGCCGGUAAAAAGGUGGCCUUUAAACAGUGACCGUUGAUUCGCG